AGAUAUGAAGGUAAAUAGAUCUGUUAACUUAUGAAUUGCUGGGGUUGUUUUGGUUGACAUGGAUAGUUAGGUGGUAUCCUCUUCCUCCAUUGUCAUUCCAUGUGUAACUUUCUGGAAGCUGCACACUUAGCAGAUGAAACUAUUUUAUCAAUAGAAAAGGUCUAGCCCCUGGUCAAGGAUAUAUGAGUGGCUGUGCUGCCUGGCUGGAACCUCCAAACAGGCUGUUACAGUGGGCACAUUUCCUUUUCAUUCUGCUUAUUUCCAUGUCUAAUCACUACCUAACAU
Cricetulus griseus (Chinese hamster) is the source of this 285-nucleotide non-coding RNA. The record is from Rfam. Lineage: Eukaryota; Metazoa; Chordata; Mammalia; Rodentia; Cricetidae.